This is a non-coding RNA of Aedes albopictus (Asian tiger mosquito), 74 nucleotides long. Lineage: Eukaryota; Metazoa; Arthropoda; Insecta; Diptera; Culicidae. The record is from Rfam.
AGUUGUGUGGCUUAGUUGGUUAAAGCGCCGGUCUAGCGAAUACGGAGUCGUGGGUUCGAAUCCCAGCAGAACGC